Molecule: non-coding RNA, 80 nt
Organism: Paramuricea clavata
Lineage: Eukaryota; Metazoa; Cnidaria; Anthozoa; Malacalcyonacea; Plexauridae
Source: the annotation of a GenBank genome assembly
GCCUCGUAGCUCAGUGGGCAGAGCAUUGGACUAGUUCACUAGUAUAUCCCAAAGGUUGCGGGUUCGAUUCCCGCCGUGCA